AUGGAGGGUGUUACAGUGUUGAUUGUUGGUGCUGGGCCAGCAGGCCUCGCAACGGCAGCAUGCCUUAGCCAAUUCUCAAUUCCUUAUGCCAUCGUCGAGCGCGAGAGCUGUAGCGCAUCACUCUGGCGCAACCGCGCGUAUGAUCCCCUCAAGAUGCAUCUCGCAAAAAAGUUCUGUGAGUUGCCACACAUGUCAUACCCUGUAGAUGCACCAACAUACAUACCAAAAACCUUGUUUGUGAAGUACUUGGAUGACUAUGUUGAGCGUUUCAACAUUCAACCAAAGUAUCUCACCAGCGUGGAGUCAUCCACAUAUGACAAUGAUGAAAAAUGUUGGUCCAUUGUGGCAAAGGACAUGUCAAAGUGCACCACAGUCAAGUUCAUGGCGAAGUUUCUUGUUGUGGCAAGUGGUGAGAAUAGUGCAGAGAAUAUUCCAAUGUUCCCUGGACUGGAAAACUUUCCAGGUGAUGUUAUCCACUCCUCAAGCUACAAGUCAGGCAAGAGCUACUCUGGCAAGAAUGUAUUGGUCAUUGGAUCUGGCAACUCCGGGAUGGAAAUUGCUUAUGACCUUGUGACCCAUGGUGCCAACACAUCGAUUGUUAUACGAAGCCCGAUUCAUGUAAUGACAAAGGAAUUAAUUCGUUUGGGGAUGACACUUGCUCACCGUCUUCCAUUGAAUCUAGUGGAUAAACUCCUUGUGAUGGCAGCGUAUUUAAUAUUUGGAGACCUGUCACAGCAUGGCAUCACAAGGCCAAAAAUGGGUCCAAUGACCCUCAAAUCAGAAACAGGUCGAUCUGCAGUAAUUGAUGUUGGGACUGUUGGAUUGAUCAAAAAAGGCAUCAUCAAAGUCUAUGUGUUUUUAAUCCAGGAUGGUGUG
Molecule: ribosomal RNA, 876 nt
Filed under: Triticum aestivum (bread wheat)
Lineage: Eukaryota; Viridiplantae; Streptophyta; Magnoliopsida; Poales; Poaceae
Description: partial small subunit ribosomal RNA
Source: RNAcentral